AGCGAACGUUAGCGGCGCGCCUAACACAUGCAAGUCGCACGAGAAACGGAGCAAUCCGCGGUACAGUGGCGCACGGGUAAGUAACACGUGGAUGACCUUCCCUGGAGUGGUGGAUAACCUGCCGAAAGGCGGGCUAAUACAGCAUGGGACCACGACGCUUUGGCGAUGUGGUGAAAGCGGGCCUCUAUAUAUAAGCUCGCGCUCCGGGACGGGUCCGCGUCCCAUCAGCUAGUUGGUGAGGUAACGGCUCACCAAGGCAACGACGGGUAGCUGGUCUGAGAGGAUGGCCAGCCACACUGGAACUGAGACACGGUCCAGACUCCUACGGGAGGCAGCAGUGGGGAAUCUUGCGCAAUGGGCGAAAGCCUGACGCAGCCACGCCGCGUGAGCGAUGAA
Molecule: ribosomal RNA, 396 nt
Filed under: uncultured bacterium
Lineage: Bacteria
Description: bacterial SSU rRNA
Rfam family: Bacterial small subunit ribosomal RNA
Source: RNAcentral